This 1402-nucleotide long non-coding RNA is filed under the name Equus asinus (donkey). RNAcentral's name for it is "lncRNA (ENSEASG00005037067.1)". The record is from RNAcentral. Lineage: Eukaryota; Metazoa; Chordata; Mammalia; Perissodactyla; Equidae.
CUGAACUAAGCACUUGUUUAUAUGUAUCAGUCGAUUGUGGGAGAUAUGACCAAAUAGGCUGAUUGUCCUGUUCUCAGACUGAAUUAUCUUCUCUUCGGCCUAGUCACAAGGACUUAAUAAACCUAGAUAGGAAUGUAUUUCAAUCCUUCCAGCCUACACAUAUAAGUGGUUAAAGUAAGAGUUGAACCAAUUUAAACCCAGUAGUGUCAGUUUUCCUUAUCACAGCCCAAAUAGAAAUUAAGAAAUAUCCCAAAUGUUGAUGGUUAUCCAAGCAUCUGGAGAUGGGAGAAGGAAAGAAUUGAUGCCCAGGAGAUGGGACUGGAGUAAGGAUUUUUUUUUUUUUUUUUUGCGCGUGCCCCACGUUAUUUCUACUGUGCUUUAUUGUGAGUGUUGUAACAUUUGAAGAAUACUUUUGCCAUAGCUCUUUGGUACUUGGUGUUAAAGGAACCAGUGGUCUCUCUUGGGUGGUGUACUCUAGUGAGUUAUUAGGACCCACGGCUAUGUGGGACUGCAUCCCUUGCAAAUGACACAACCCCGAAAGUAACAAAAUAAAAAACCACUCCACCAAGGAGGUUUCUUUAUGUUGCCACUCCUAUUUAAAGACAAACUUGGGCAGGGAGCAUGUUUUCUGUUCUAUACAAAAUCUAGCUGACUGUGGGUAUUCCUAUUUUAAUUGUUGAGUGACUUACAUGUUCUUGAUGACUAAACUCAAAUAUGUCUUCUCGUAUCAGUGUUGCUGAUGGUUGCAGUGAAUAUCAGAGUUCUCCUGUUGUUUCUGUAUGCCACUACGGGCAUGAGCUUUGGAGUGGCCGUGGGAGACACCAUCUCCAUGACCCAACUGUAUUUCAUCCCCUUUUCCUUCCCUACUCUCCUGCCCCACCCUAGCCUGUUCCUGCUGCUGCUUUUGGCUUCUAAAUGCCCCAGCCAUCUCUCCAUACAUCUACACUCCAGCUGAGAAGUUAAGAGGGCUAGGGCCAGACCAGCUCAGUCUCCUCUCUUUCUGCCAGUUGCUGCCCAUUUGCUGUGCUGAACUUUGUGUAGAAGUCAUGCAUUGGACUCUCUUUGCUAAUGCUUUUUGCAUGCCUUCUGCUCCCAAGUCGCUGCUGCUUCUGCACAUCCCCUGAACACUUUGUGCCUGUUUUCUAUGGUUGUGGAGAGUGAGUGAACAACUUCUCCAAAAGUGGUUUUGUUUUUCCUUCUGGGAGAGAUUGAGGCCGAUGACAUCAGAAUCUCACUUUGAGUUUCACACCAUCCCCUCCAGCUGCCUUGUGAACGUCUCCACUUGGAAAUUACCCCCAGGCACCUUGAAAUCCAACCCCACGCUGAAUUGACCUGACCACUUUUUUCCACUACUGCCCGCCUGCUUCUCCUGCAUUUCCUAACUCCAUCAUUGCCUAGGUAU